GUAUAUUUUAUUAGCCAUAUAUUUUGACCAUUGUUCUUUUGAGUAUAAAAGUAAGUCGAAAACUAUAAAAAAUAUUUAUCCGGCAAAAACUGGUAUUAAAGAUGAAGUGUUACAUUUUUGCGGUAUUGCUGGUGUUCCUGACAAUUGCCACUUUUUUGGUAAGUGGUCAAGAUGAUGAAGACUGGCAGCCAGCUCCUAAUUCUUGCGAAUGGGUAGAUUGCAGUCCCAAGUAGGGCCUAAGGUUUCUUGCCUCUGCUCAAACACCCAAUACUAGACGCAUUUGACAGAAUUUCGUUAUAUGGCGGAAUAUGCAGACGUUAUAAACAAUAUCCUUUUUGAUGAUGCAAGCUGUGUUUAUAUCUGCUUAAUACUAUUAAAAUAAUAACGUUUCAA
This is a long non-coding RNA of Diabrotica virgifera virgifera (western corn rootworm), 393 nucleotides long. RefSeq lists it as uncharacterized. The transcript is spliced from 2 exons. The record is from RefSeq and is a predicted model, not a curated record. NCBI's taxonomy places the organism in Eukaryota, Metazoa, Arthropoda, Insecta, Coleoptera, Chrysomelidae.